AUUGCGCUUAGUUACACAACAACGACUUUUCGUGCAAGUGUUGCGCAAAAAAUCGGCGUUACAAGUUGAUCCGUGUAAUACCUUUAAAAAAAAUGUUUUUAGAUGGCAAAGCUAGCGAGGGGGCCUGGAUCGGUUUAAGUGACAUCCAAGUAGAAAACCAAAUCAAGUGGUCAGAUGGAACACCGCUGACCUACCAGCCUAAUAACGACUUGUCCAACACACACGAUAAGGAUUGUGGAAAUAUCAAUUGGAGCAAUACGAGAAGCGAAUGGACUAUGAGCUUUUGUGAGAAAAAGUUGCCCUUCAUCUGUGAAUUCCAUGACAACAGGAAUGGUUGAAACCAUCAACUUCUUGACCAGAAAAGCACUGUAGAAAGCUGAAAACUAAUUAAUGCGGACACAAACUGCUUUUCUUCUUUAGAACACUUUUGUGUUUUACUUUCUGUGCAUGACCUGAAUGACUUCCAGGCAUCUGGGUUUGAUUUUUGGCUUCUGUCAAUCGCAGAAAUUCAAAUGUUUUGCAACGCGAUUGUGAGGAAGUUUAGACAACGUCAUAUUGGAAGUUAUUUUACCAUUGUAGUGCAAACUUCUCUUCCUCUUCAAGGGGAAUCGAGGGGUUGCGUCGGUAAAUGAAGAAAGAGAGAGAAGAGAAGGGACUGAAGGGGUGAGGAAGAGAAAAAGGAGCACUCUCUUGUCCCUUGUUAAUUGCGGCUUGAUGCUGUAAAAUAUCAUUUUUAGAUGGCAAAGCUAUCGAAGGAGCCUCUGUUGGGUUGAAUGACAUCCAGGCAGAAAACCAAAUCAAGUGGUCAGAUGGAACACUGCUGACCUACCAGCCUAAUAACGACUUGUCCAACACAGAUGAUAGUGCAGAUGGCAGUGCCGUGAUACGAUUGUAUGAACUUACUUUGCUUACUUCAAAUGAACAUAUACUUGCUAAAUCCUAGAAAGUAACUUAGUGCAACGUUUGUAAGCAGACAACAUAGGAAGACUGCUUAUCAUUUCAAUAUUGAUUAACUAACAUCUUAAUAGGUAAGCAAGAGUGUGACAUUUGCAUAUAUUUCAGGCCCCUCACAAUAACUCAUUCACAAGUUUAAAAGGAAAAGGAAAAGCAAAGGAAUAUUGGUGUUGCAAGAUAUUUAGAAAAUAAGUUAAGUAUGCAACUGUAAUGCUAAAGAACAAAAGAACAAAUAAUUUCUGAAAUUGUUUUAUUUCAUAUGAUUUGCUUGUUUAAUUAAGCAAUAAGAGCAGAAGCAGUAGAAGACUCACUGAAAUAAAAAUAAACAAUUCUCUGAUUAAUGUAAAACCCUUUUCACCUAUGAAAACAAGCUUUUUGGUUGUUUUCCAUAAAAAAUUUACUUAUUGUAAUAAUACGUGCAUUGGUUACUAGUAAACUAACUUAUUUAGGUAGGUGAAAUACUUACUACUUCCAGUUAGGUGGCAGGACUCUCUUGGUUUUGUAGUAUCGAGCAAGACGGUGGAUUCUACUCUCAAUUAAAAUUAGUCUGAAUUUGGAAUCUUUAUCCUGUUAUCAAUAAAGAAGAAAAUCAUCAUGAGUUGAAAAAAAAGAUAACUCAAAAACCUUGAUGAAUGAAUGAAACUUUAUUGCAAUGUCUACUUUCUAGAAGUACACAGAUGGGUGGUGUACACCACUAAUGGGCAACACUGUAACUAAGACUAUAACUUACAUAUGAAUAAACACUUAGAAAUGUC
RNAcentral lists this long non-coding RNA (1709 nucleotides) under Actinia tenebrosa (Australian red waratah sea anemone). Its description in RNAcentral is "uncharacterized LOC116299559". The record is from RNAcentral. Lineage: Eukaryota; Metazoa; Cnidaria; Anthozoa; Actiniaria; Actiniidae.